RNAcentral lists this ribosomal RNA (443 nucleotides) under uncultured Devosia sp. RNAcentral describes it as "bacterial SSU rRNA". It matches the Rfam family "Bacterial small subunit ribosomal RNA", at positions 335 to 796 of the family's 1533-position model. The record is from RNAcentral. Lineage: Bacteria; Pseudomonadati; Pseudomonadota; Alphaproteobacteria; Hyphomicrobiales; Devosiaceae.
UGCCUACGGGCGGCAGCAGUGGGGAAUAUUGGACAAUGGGCGCAAGCCUGAUCCAGCCAUGCCGCGUGAGUGAUGAAGGCCUUAGGGUUGUAAAGCUCUUUCAGUGGGGACGAUAAUGACGGUACCCACAGAAGAAGCCCCGGCUAACUUCGUGCCAGCAGCCGCGGUAAUACGAAGGGGGCUAGCGUUGUUCGGAUUUACUGGGCGUAAAGCGCACGUAGGCGGAUCGUUAAGUCGGGGGUGAAAUCCUGGAGCUCAACUCCAGAACUGCCUUCGAUACUGGCGAUCUUGAGUCCGGAAGAGGUGAGUGGAACUCCUAGUGUAGAGGUGGAAUUCGUAGAUAUUAGGAAGAACACCAGUGGCGAAGGCGGCUCACUGGUCCGGUACUGACGCUGAGGUGCGAAAGCGUGGGGAGCAAACAGGAUUAGAUACCCUAGUAGUCA